AACUGGUCUGAAGUUAUCUCAGUUGAUGGUUCAGUUAGUUACAGAUCAAAUCCUUUGUUCUAUUCAUUCCCUCCUUCUCACUACCUCACUUGACUAGUCUUAA
Unclassified non-coding RNA from Otolemur garnettii (small-eared galago), 103 nucleotides. It matches the Rfam family "Y RNA". From Rfam's summary of the family: Y RNAs are components of the Ro ribonucleoprotein particle (Ro RNP), in association with Ro60 and La proteins. The Y RNAs and Ro60 and La proteins are well conserved, but the function of the Ro RNP is not known. The record is from Ensembl. Lineage: Eukaryota; Metazoa; Chordata; Mammalia; Primates; Galagidae.